UUACAUUGUGUCACUAGUCAGAAAGGU
This 27-nucleotide non-coding RNA is filed under the name Rattus norvegicus (Norway rat). The record is from RNAcentral. Lineage: Eukaryota; Metazoa; Chordata; Mammalia; Rodentia; Muridae.